UAGCCCCUGACUUCAACAUGAG
This 22-nucleotide microRNA is filed under the name Picea abies (Norway spruce). Its description in RNAcentral is "pab-miR3697c". The record is from miRBase by way of RNAcentral. Lineage: Eukaryota; Viridiplantae; Streptophyta; Pinopsida; Pinales; Pinaceae.